Long non-coding RNA from Coregonus clupeaformis (lake whitefish), 712 nucleotides. RefSeq lists it as uncharacterized. The record is from RefSeq and is a predicted model, not a curated record. The transcript has 6 exons. Lineage: Eukaryota; Metazoa; Chordata; Actinopteri; Salmoniformes; Salmonidae.
GCCAUCAAAAAGGUUCCUAACGUUACAACAUGGCAGACGGCUGGAGCACUGACACCCGGGAUACUGUGAAAUACCUUACAAUUAAGAUCCGUAUUCAGAGAGUCACCUCUACAGCAGCCCUCUCCCAACACCUUCAGCAGCAGGUUUUGGCUCAACCGGAGAGGGAAGGCAUUGAGCUGGACACCCUCAACUCACCGGCUCAAUCAGGUAUUAACACUGUUUUGAAACAGCAAGAUGAAGUUAGAUGCAUCUUAGUUGAGUAGAUGUUAUUUUCGAAGUGGCUAGAUAUGGGCCAGAACAUCGUCAGACAGGAUGAGAUAGAGGAAUCCCUCCCCCAAUGGCCAGUUCUGUACUUCUGGCAGCACUACAGAAAUGAAGGCUAUGGCUACCUGGUCAUUCCUUCCACCCCUGGUAAGGGAAGCAUACAAUAAUGUGUCAUACGUGGAGACCACAGGAACAGUGUCAGAACUGAGACGCUUCUUCAUUGGUGGAUCCCCUGAGCUUGAGGACUACAUUUACAUCAGAGUCCCAGGGGGGUCCACGGGUAUUUGUUGAUGCCAGCACCCUGAAGAAGAGGAGGCAGAGUGUUCUGGACCAGCUGGGAGGCUUCAGUCAGCAAGGGGCUGUCUAUAAUGUCCUGGGUGUGUGCAGCUCACUCACUGCUGAGCGCGUCUCAAUCGCAUGUAUAGUAAAGUGUCCGAGAGGAGUGAGG